RNAcentral lists this ribosomal RNA (466 nucleotides) under uncultured bacterium. RNAcentral's name for it is "bacterial SSU rRNA". It matches the Rfam family "Bacterial small subunit ribosomal RNA", at positions 330 to 794 of the family's 1533-position model. The record is from RNAcentral.
GCCAGACUCCUACGGGAGGCAGCAGUGAGGAAUAUUGGUCAAUGGGAGGAAUCCUGAACCAGCCAUGCCGCGUGCAGGACGACGGCUCUACGAGUUGUAAACUGCUUUUGUACCGGGGUAAAAUGCCUUACGAGUAGGGUUUUGAAAGUACGGUACGAAUAAGGAUCGGCUAACUCCGUGCCAGCAGCCGCGGUAAUACGGAGGAUGCGAGCGUUAUCCGGAUUUAUUGGGUUUAAAGGGUGCGUAGGCGGAACAUUAAGUCAGCGGUAAAAUCGAGGGGCUCAACCCCUGUAAGCCGUUGAAACUGGUGAUCUUGAGUGGGCGAGAAGUAUGCGGAAUGCGUGGUGUAGCGGUGAAAUGCAUAGAUAUCACGCAGAACUCCGAUUGCGAAGGCAGCAUACCGGCGCCCGACUGACGCUGAGGCACGAAAGUGCGGGGAUCGAACAGGAUUAGAUACCCUUGUACA